AGAGUUUGAUCCUGGCUCAGGGAUGAACGCUGGCGGCGUGCCUAACACAUGCAAGUCAACGGGGCUGAUUGGACGGCGAUUCGUCAAAGUCCAGAAAGCCUAGUGGCGGACGGGUGAGUAACGCGUGGGCAACCUGCCCUGUAGAGGGGGACAACAGCUGGAAACGGCUGCUAAUACCGCAUAAGCCCACGGGGCCGCAUGGCCCUGGGGGAAAAGAUUCAUCGCUACAGGAUGGGCCCGCGUCUGAUUAGCCAGUUGGCGGUGUAACGGACCACCAAAGCAACGAUCAGUAGCCGGACUGAGAGGUCGGACGGCCACAUUUGGGACUGAGACACGGCCCAAACUCCUACGGGAGGCAGCAGUGGGGAUAUUGCACAAUGGGGGAAACCCUGAUGCAGCGACGCCGCGUGGGUGAAGGAGUCCUUCGGGACGUAAAGCCCUAUCAGCAGGGAAGAAAACGACGGUACCUGACUAAGAAGCCCCGGCUAACUACGUGCC
RNAcentral lists this ribosomal RNA (498 nucleotides) under uncultured bacterium. Its description in RNAcentral is "bacterial SSU rRNA". It matches the Rfam family "Bacterial small subunit ribosomal RNA", at positions 8 to 509 of the family's 1533-position model. The record is from RNAcentral.